AACGAACGCUGGCGGCAGGCCUAACACAUGCAAGUCGAGCGGACCGUUCGGGGUCAUCGGCGGACGGGUGUGUAACGCGUGGGAAUAUUCCCUUCUCUACGGAAUAGUUCUGGGAAACUGGGGGUAAUACCGUAUACGCCCUUUUGGGGAAAGAUUUAUUGGGGAAGGAUUUUCCCGCGUUGGAUUAGGUUGUUGGUUGGGUAAUAGCCUACCAAGCCGACGAUCCAUAGCUGGGUUGAGAGGAUGAUCAGCCACACCUGGAGUGAGAAGCGGCCCAGACUCCUACGGGAGGCAGCAGUGGCGAAUCUUAGAAAAUGGGGGCAACCAUGAUCUAGCCAUGCCGGGUGAGUGAUGAAGGCCUUAGGGUUGUAAAGCGCUUUCAGCUGGGAAGAUAAUGACGGUACCAGCAGAAGAAGCCCCGGCUAACUCCGUG
RNAcentral lists this ribosomal RNA (433 nucleotides) under uncultured bacterium. RNAcentral's name for it is "partial 16S ribosomal RNA". It matches the Rfam family "Bacterial small subunit ribosomal RNA", at positions 29 to 507 of the family's 1533-position model. The record is from RNAcentral.